Molecule: long non-coding RNA, 1323 nt
Organism: Ailuropoda melanoleuca (giant panda)
Lineage: Eukaryota; Metazoa; Chordata; Mammalia; Carnivora; Ursidae
Exons: 4
Source: RefSeq, a predicted model, not a curated record
UUUCAUGACUUUUAACCCCAACUGAAAGUAAACUAUCAUCCAGGUUUCACUUCUCAAGACAUCUUCCAUGAUUGUCACUUUGAGCUACAGGAUUCCAUGUCAUGUUAUGUCGUGUCACUGUUACGAUGAGUAAGAACAGCUACUUAAUAUUUGGAAAGAAAGCAAAGAGAUGUAAUAAGGUGGCAAACACCAUUCUACACCUGCAGCCAUUCAAUAAAUAACAAUAACUGUCAGGCACGGACAUGAAGGUGACCCUCUUUCUUUGAGGUACAAUCACAGAAAAUACUCGCCACUGUGUUUUCUCUGAAUCAGUAGAUGCUGAAGUUUCUAAUACCCAAUGACUGUCCUUGAAGAUAUCUAGAAGAGUGGUAUUACAGUACCCGUUGGUGGUAUUACAGUAACAGUUGGGAUGUGGUCUGCCAAACCAUCCCUGAUGCUUCUGUUGACUUUUGCCAUAGGGGUUUUUCAUCUUGCUGUUUGGAACCAUUAUGGACCACAAGAUAAGAGAUGCUUUGAGGAUGAGGAUGUCUUCACUGAAGGGGAGAUCAAGGGCAGCAGAGAAUGCAUCUUUAAGCCCAACCAAUGGAUCUAAAUUAAUGAAUCGUUGAAGAUGAGAUGAUGUUGCAUUCCUCAUGGACGUUCCGUGUCCUGGACUGAGAGUGAAGCCCUGGGAGAGGGAGGCUGGAAUGAGGGAGAGCCGAGCUUCCUUGGAAGACUUUCUCUUCUGGCCAGGAGUGACAUCUAAGCUGUCGGGGUGAAAAUGCUUGCUGAGGGAAAAGUGAGAAUGACGUUUGGUGACUGCACUUGAAGGAGCUAGAACCACUGACUCUUUGACCCAUGACUUGCAGGAGACUGGUUCUUGGUCAGCCUUGGCAAGAUCAAGACAGCAAGCCAUUUUCUGAGCUCCUGGACAAGCCUGGAGCUGUUGGGGCUCUACUGGACGAGGUCUGCUUUCAUGCCCAAGACCGGCUCUGUGGCUCCAUCAACCCAUUGCCACAGCCAUUGUCACUGUGCAUGGAUCCUGCCUGCUCUGGGGGACAGGAGUUAGAUCCGGGGUCAGGGGUAGGGGUGGGCAUGGGGGUAGAGGGUGGGUGGCAGCAGAAAUACUGAAUCUACUUUGGAGACAGUUAAGUCAUGGUAGGUUUCCUAAAAAUAGGGAACAGAAGAAAAAUAAGAGGACUUUUCAAUGUGUUUCUGAUUUUAGUCUAUUUUAGAUGUUGAGUAAAAUACUUUAGCUCCUAGGACUUUAGAUUCUUCGUUUGUGAAACUUAAAAAUAUUCCUGUAGGUAUUAUUAUUAUUAUGUGUGUGUGUGUGAGUGUUUA